AUGCCACCGCGUGUUAAUUCGGUGCCCCGCUGGGGGCAUUUUCGUCAUUUCACGCGUUGGAGUAUAAAAGGGAGCCGCUCCUGUGGAGAAGACCUAGCCGCUGCUCCUCCCGCACUCGCGUCGGCCCCUCUCCCCUUCCUCCACCCCCUCCUCCUCCUCCUCCUCCCAUCGCCGCCCCCUCCUCCUCCCAUGGUCAUCCCCCCUCCUCCGCCUCCCUCGCAUCUCGUCCGCCCCGGGUGCGGAGCCCUAGGGCCGCUGCCGCCUGGCAGCACCUACGGCCGCGGUCGCUGUUGGCAGCACCUUCGCCCGUCUUCGCCUACGCUGCCGCCGCCUCUGGUGGCCAUCGGCCCCUCCGCCCCACCCACGGAAGUGACAGUGACUCCAUAUAUUUUGGCAGCUGAAAUGGUCGAGAAGUUUGAGUCAGGGACUAGAGAUUUGGGCAGCCACUACAGCAGAUCAAUGUCUAAUGAGGAUGCAGCAACUGCCUCACAGAGAAGGCCCAAACUUAUGCUAACAAGGCCAAAGGAACCUGAGUUUCAGACUAACCAUAGGGUCCGAGCAGUCAGAAUGAAAAGCUCUUCAGAACUAGAGGAGGAAAUGCUGGCCAAGAUCCCAAAGUUCAGAGCAUGGCCAUUUAACAAAAAGAUAGCUGAAGCUCCGUCUUUCCCUCCUCUUCCAAGGACAGCUCCACAGCUUCCCGAUUUCAAUGAGUUUCACCUUAAAACAAUGGAAAGAGCGUCUCGACAUGCUGACACAUGUUCAGAAGCUUCUUCUGUAGGAACUAUGCGGAUUCUUGAGAGGAAGGGCGGUAUUGGUGUUUUUGCCCAUCCAAAGGCCCAGGCAACAGAGCCCAAGGAGUUCCAUUUUUGUACUGAUGACCUCUUGGGACCUCCUGCAGUUGCGGAUCUUCUCGACAAGCUUUCUCUGUACUCUGAAUCUUCUUCCUACAAUGACAAGAGAGAUAUGCCGGGACUGACAAUACCCAAACCUUUCAAUCUACAUACAGAUAUCGUUUCUAGGUGGCUGCUGAUGAAUCAUGUCAAUGUGGCAGAACACCGUGUAUAUCAAAUAUCUUCAGCUGUGGUUAAGGAGGAUUCCCGCCAGCACCAUCUCACUGCUGACCUGUGUAAUCAAUUUAUGUUUCCAACCUUUUUGUUUAGACCGCUGCUCCUCCCGCACUCGCGUCGCCCCCUCUCCCCUUCCUCCGCCCCCUCCUCCUCCUCCUCCCAUCGCCGCCCCCUCCUCCUCCCAUGGUCAUCCCCCCUCCUCCGCCUCCCUCGCAUCUCGUCCGCCCCGGGUGCGGAGGUGAGCUGCUGCACCCACGCCCCUCCUCCAACUCCCCCACCCCUCCUCCAAUGGCGCUCCCUCCUUGGAUCGAGCCCUAGGGCCGCUGCCGCCUGGCAGCACCUACGGCCGCGGUCGCUGUUGGCAGCACCUUCGCCCGUCUUCGCCUACGCUGCCGCCGCCUCUGGUGGCCAUCGGCCCCUCCGCCCCACCCACGGUCAGCACCGGCCCCCCUCUGUUCUUUUUUUGUUUCAUGAAGUGACAGUGACUCCAUAUAUUUUGGCAGCUGAAAUGGUCGAGAAGUUUGAGUCAGGGACUAGAGAUUUGGGCAGCCACUACAGCAGAUCAAUGUCUAAUGAGGAUGCAGCAACUGCCUCACAGAGAAGGCCCAAACUUAUGCUAACAAGGCCAAAGGAACCUGAGUUUCAGACUACCCAUAGGGUCUGA
This 1731-nucleotide ribosomal RNA is filed under the name Triticum aestivum (bread wheat). RNAcentral's name for it is "partial small subunit ribosomal RNA". Lineage: Eukaryota; Viridiplantae; Streptophyta; Magnoliopsida; Poales; Poaceae. The record is from RNAcentral.